GUAAGCGCGCGUAGGCGGUCUGAUAAGCCGGUUGUGAAAGCCCCGGGCUCAACCUGGGAACGGCAUCCGGAACUGUCAGGCUAGAGUGCAGGAGAGGAAGGUAGAAUUCCCGGUGUAGCGGUGAAAUGCGUAGAGAUCGGGAGGAAUACCAGUGGCGAAGGCGGCCUUCUGGACUGACACUGACGCUGAGGUGCGAAAGCGUGGGUAGCAAACAGGAUUAGAUACCCUGGUAGUCCACGCCGUAAACGAUGUCGACUAGCCGUUGGGGUCCUUGAGACCUUUGUGGCGCAGUUAACGCGAUAAGUCGACCGCCUGGGGAGUACGGCCGCAAGGUUAAAACUCAAAUGAAUUGACGGGGGCCCGCACAAGCGGUGGAGCAUGUGGUUUAAUUCGAUGCAACGCGAAGAACCUUACCUACCCUUGACAUCGAGAGAACUUGGCAGAGAUGCCUUGGUGCCUUCGGGAACUCUCAGACAGGUGCUGCAUGGCUGUCGUCAGCUCGUGUUGUGAAAUGUUGGGUUAAGUCCCGUAACGAGCGCAACCCUUGUCCUUAUUUGCCAGCGCGUAAUGGCGGGAACUCUAAGGAGACUGCCGGUGACAAACCGGAGGAAGGUGGGGACGACGUCAAGUCAUCAUGGCCCUUACGGGUAGGGCUACACACGUGCUACAAUGGACGGUACAAAGGGUUGCAAAGCC
The sequence is a ribosomal RNA, 696 nucleotides long. It matches the Rfam family "Bacterial small subunit ribosomal RNA", at positions 561 to 1256 of the family's 1533-position model.